AAGUCGUAACAAGGUUUCCGUAGGUGAACCUGCGGAAGGAUCAUUAACAAAGUUUAUCCAACAACAUAUCCGUGUUCUGUCUGGCAUUAUUGUAUUCUCUGAUGAUUAUCAUUAAGAGAUGUGAUUUUGCCGAGUUUUUUUAUCAAUACACUAUCAUCCACUGAUGUGAUUCAUUACUACUACCUUAGAGUGGUAGUAAUUUUAACUAAAACAACUGUUAACAACGGAUCACUCGGUUCUCA
This 242-nucleotide unclassified non-coding RNA is filed under the name fungal sp. RNAcentral describes it as "partial internal transcribed spacer region". The stretch from base 1 to 46 matches the Rfam family "Eukaryotic small subunit ribosomal RNA", at positions 1786 to 1831 of the family's 1831-position model. The record is from RNAcentral. Lineage: Eukaryota; Fungi.